GGUGGCGUAGCUCAGUCGGUAGAGCAAGCGGCUCAUAUCCGCUCGGUCAGGGGUUCAAAUCCCUUCGCCACUA
Molecule: transfer RNA, 73 nt
Filed under: Spirochaetaceae bacterium
Lineage: Bacteria; Pseudomonadati; Spirochaetota; Spirochaetia; Spirochaetales; Spirochaetaceae
Description: tRNA-Met
Rfam family: tRNA
About the family: Transfer RNA (tRNA) molecules are approximately 80 nucleotides in length. Their secondary structure includes four short double-helical elements and three loops (D, anti-codon, and T loops).
Source: RNAcentral